AGUGGCAAGUUCAUUGAGUAUUUUGACCCAAAUCCAGGGAUGGCGUCCCAAACAGGUUUCUAAAACAACGAACUUAAUGAGACAACAGCCACCGCAGACCUGCGCUCUGUCAGCAAGAAGCCUGAGUUCUCGGAGGUGCAGUUAGUGUCUCAGGGUCCACGAUGCUCACAAAUGCUAGAAACAUAAGGUCAGGAAGGAGCUCAGCGACGCUCGCCCGGGUCUCCAGCAGCGAGCGGCCGACGCUCCUGCCGGAAGCAGCCGGGACACGGCGGCCGCGCGUGUUCUCCAGGCCUCCCCGCCCCCCUCCCCCCGCCUCCGAACCCGCAGGACAAAGACUGCGGGGUCGUCCAAGUCACUCAGGGAGUAGCGGCCUCGCAACACGGGAUCCCAGCAACUAAGCGUGCGCAGGGGUCGCCUCCCUUGACCGGGGCGACCAGAGGCGGGGACCCGAGGUAAGGAUCGAGGCCCCAGCCCCUUCCCCCGAGUCAGCUUGGCUCGCCCCACGUGCCCGCCCGCACUUACCGGACAGCAGAGCGGGGCCGGUGCGCAGCGCCCGGACGGCGCCCGCCCGCAGUCUCCAGGGCCGCGGCGGGCAGGGCGCGUUGGGCUCAGAGAUGGCGCGCAGGCUGCAGAUCGCGGCCCGCACGCUGCGCGCCACUCGCAGCGCCAUGUUCGCAGGGGUGCAAAGGGUCUCCGCACAGCAUCUAGAGCACCCCUGGCCGGAGCGGGCGGGGCGGGGAGGGGGCGGCCCCGGGCCGGAGCAAGCCGGAGCGAGCUGGCUGGACCGGCGCGCAGGGGCGGGGCCCCGGG
Balaenoptera ricei (Rice's whale) is the source of this 810-nucleotide long non-coding RNA. RefSeq lists it as uncharacterized. The record is from RefSeq and is a predicted model, not a curated record. NCBI's taxonomy places the organism in Eukaryota, Metazoa, Chordata, Mammalia, Artiodactyla, Balaenopteridae. The transcript is spliced from 3 exons.